AGCGGCGGACGGGUGAGUAACGCGUGGGUAACCUGCCUCAUACAGGGGGAUAACAGUUGGAAACGGCUGCUAAUACCGCAUAAGCGCACAGUACCGCAUGGUACCGUGUGAAAAACUCCGGUGGUAUGAGAUGGACCCGCGUCUGAUUAGCUAGUUGGUGGGGUAACGGCCUACCAAGGCGACGAUCAGUAGCCGACCUGAGAGGGUGACCGGCUACAUUGGGACUGAGACACGGCCCAA
This 240-nucleotide ribosomal RNA is filed under the name uncultured bacterium. RNAcentral's name for it is "partial 16S ribosomal RNA". It matches the Rfam family "Bacterial small subunit ribosomal RNA", at positions 94 to 334 of the family's 1533-position model. The record is from RNAcentral.